GAUGAACGCUGGCGGCGUGCCUAAUACAUGCAAGUCGAGCGAACGGACGAGAAGCUUGCUUCUCUGAUGUUAGCGGCGGACGGGUGAGUAACACGUGGAUAACCUACCUAUAAGACUGGGAUAACUUCGGGAAACCGUAGCUAAUACCGGAUAAUAUUUUGAACCGCAUGGUUCAAAGGUGAAAGACGGUCUUGCUGUCACUUAUAGAUGGAUCCGCGCUGCAUUAGCUAGUUGGUAAGGUAACGGCUUGCCAAGGCAACGAUGCAUAGCCGACCUGAGAGGGUGAUCGGCCACACUGGAACUGAGACACGGUCCAGACUCCUACGGGAGGCAGCAGUAGGGAAUCUUCCGCAAUGGGCGAAAGCCUGACGGAGCAACGCCGCGUGAGUGAUGAAGGUCUUCGGAUCGUAAAACUCUGUUAUUAGGGAAGAACAUAUGUGUAAGUAACUGUGCACAUCUUGACGGUACCUAAUCAGAAAGCCACGGCUAACUACGUG
RNAcentral lists this ribosomal RNA (497 nucleotides) under uncultured bacterium. RNAcentral describes it as "partial 16S ribosomal RNA". It matches the Rfam family "Bacterial small subunit ribosomal RNA", at positions 28 to 507 of the family's 1533-position model. The record is from RNAcentral.